AGCCGGUGGCCCAACUCUUUGAGAGGGAGCCGUCGAAGGUGGGACUGGCGAUUGGGACUAAGUCGUAACAAGGUAGCCGUACCGGAAGGUGCGGCUGGAUCACCUCCUUUCUAAGGAG
RNAcentral lists this ribosomal RNA (118 nucleotides) under Salmonella enterica. RNAcentral describes it as "partial 16S ribosomal RNA". It matches the Rfam family "Bacterial small subunit ribosomal RNA", at positions 1425 to 1533 of the family's 1533-position model. The record is from RNAcentral. Lineage: Bacteria; Pseudomonadati; Pseudomonadota; Gammaproteobacteria; Enterobacterales; Enterobacteriaceae.